UCUAGAGAUGAGCAGAAGAUGCAGCUUCUCAUCAGGUCCAUAAGUGUAGCAGAGAGAUUUGUGUGGGAGACUUGAUUAAAGCCCAGCUGCUCCAUGCAAUCUGAAUCCCAAAACAUCAGGACAUUUUUUGUCCUUUUGAAAAAUGAUCCUCAGCCUGCCGGUGAGGUGCUAAUUAAUGUGAGGAUGUGGUGCACCAUAUAAUAAAGGCUGCUGUUGAGGAAUGUGAGUGAAGUAGGGAUUGAUCCCGAGGUGCUGAUGUGUAAACAAGAUUGCUGCAGAGGUGGGCCACAGUCAUGAGGGACAUGACCUGGUUCCCUUAGCCAACCCAACACAUUCCUCUUAUGGAGGCAGCAGACCCUCAGGCUCCUUCCGAGGGCCCUGCCUGCAUUUUUCUGUCGCCGGUGCCUCCGAAGAGGGGAGCCUGCGGAUGAGGAUCCGACAUGCACGUGAGCCAGCUGGCUUUGACUAGUUUAUCUGCAAAUCUAAAACACAUGAAGAACCAAAGUCUGCAGAACGGAAAAGGGCGAUUUUCUCUGAGAUGCCUCUAACCUGUUGUAAAGAAGAAUUCUGCAUUGUGGUGCAGCUGACUCAACCCUUAUUUCUCUCAGUUACCAAGAAAAGCAAAAAAAGGCAAGAUCCUUGAAGUGAUCCAUCAGAGGAGCAGAUUCAUAACAAGUUUUUCAGAAGUUCCCUUAUUGGAUUUACAAGCCUGACCCCAACAGACCUUGCAAUCACAGGUGAGAGUCCAGGUAGAACAAGUAAUAACUUCACACAUAUGUACAUGAGGAUUUCCACUACACUAGCAAACACAUUUCUAUUGGCAUUUCCUUUUCCAGCCUGGCUAUCAAACCUCAUAUUUCACAUAUCUGUAGAGAAAACCAGGUUUGUUUUCCAUGAAUGGGCCGCAUUAUGGGGAUUUUUAAAUGUUAUUCCAUCUCCUACAGGCUUUUAUCCAAACCAAGCAACUAAAAUAAAACAUGGCUUCCUUCCCUGAGAUGGUUUCAUAGCCCAGCUCUCCAACUUUCUCCCGUACCACAAACAUGCAACACAAUUGUGCAACAGCCGAGGAAGGAAUGGUGAGAUCAGAGCCGUGACUACAGACAUCCUGACAUGGGGAUCUGGCAGUUAUUCAACACAAACACAAUUAGAGGACUUACCCUUGCGUGAAGUAUUUGCUUUCUUGAUAGUCACCAGCCUUAACCUCUAGGAAUGCUUACGAAUCAGAUAGCGUUCCUUGAGGAGGGUGAGCCUUUCCAAGCUCCUCUGUCCUGCUUUAGCCAACACAGAUACAAAGAAGAAAGAAAUUCCGCCGUAUCCUACAACUUCUCCCAGGGAAAGCCUUUUAGAAGCAGAGAAGAGUUGUGGUCUCAAAAUCUCUACCAAGACUUUGGGAACACAAUAUCAUGCAGCGCUUGCUCCUCUUCCUAAUAUCAGCAGGAGAAAAUAACACCACAAGAGAUAAACUUUGAAAUUCUCACCAAAUAUGAAAGAAGGGGGUUUCCUGAGUCCUGCUCCUUGGCUUUCCCUUGCAGUUGACUUGUCUGGCAGAGGUGAUACCACAGAAGAAUGGAUGGCAGAGAUUUGCAUGCCUUGGAAGGCUCAUAUGUGUGUGUCUGCAUAGAUAUUUGGGAGCUUGAUACAGAAAAAGGUUCAUUAACUUAGAAAAUGUAUUGUACACAGGUGUUACACAACUUACAAAUCCUCAAGUGUGACAGCACAAAUAUUUCAGUAGAAUAAUUCCAAUUGGUGAAAAUCUUGGGUUUUUCACAUAGUAACAGCAUCUUCAAAAUGGCAAUAGGAGUUGACCUCUAAUAAAACAUCUGCUAGCAAACUGGUCAAAUGUCAGUCUGGCACAGCAGUUACAAAGCAAAAGACUUGUUCCAAAAUGUACAAUAAUUUAAAUUAUUCUUCAGUGAACACAAGAACUGGACCAAAGGAGGGCUCACUGGUGUAAACCCAGGUGUGUAACAGAGCAGUGCAGAGGGGAAGACCAGUGGGAUUUCCAGACGAUUCAAUGUGACAUGACACGACUACCAGAGGUACCGCAAGAUACACAGAGGCUUAGCUGGUAUAACAUAAAACAAAAUAAUAGGAAAAGAAAGUGGUUGAGAUAACUCCAACCCAGGAACACUGAAGUGAGCUGAGAGGCUCUAACCUGUGUGACCUGCCUAAGCAAACCCACCAUGCUGCAGGACCACUUAUUCAAUACCAACUUUGAAAGUGCACCCUGGAGCAGCACCCUAGCAGCUGUAGGAGGAACAGCUGUGCAGUGUUUGCCUUCCCAAGUGACCAGAUGCACUUUUCCAUCUUUAGCAGCUUCCACAAAUAUCAACAACCUGAAAAACAGUGGAGAUCGUCAAAAUAUCAGAUAUCUGAAUCCAGUCAGAACGAGACAUUUCUAAAAAUAUUUCCAAUGCUAUGAAAUUCACACACACAAAUCUCCCCAAAUACCCCGGGGAAAAUUUUUGUAUGGGACAAAAGGAGAAAUAACAAUAAUGCCUCAGCCAGAUAUCAAUGGUGACAGAGUUCCAAGUUAAAGAGCUGAUUUAGGCUAUUUUGGUGCACACAAAACAACCUGGCCAUGCUCAAGGGACAGACUACCCGAGCACGGUAUUAAACUACUGUUAGUAAAGCAGUUGCAUCAAGAGAGCAAAUGAAGCAACUAAAACACAUUUCUGGAGUAGCACUGUUGACAUCUGCAGACCCACCCAAGCCAGGCAUUCGUCCCAAAAUAAAAAAUUGGCAACCAGCUAUGAAUGGUUGCCGGUCUUGACUUUUUGUAACUCCACUAAAGAAGCACAAUAUAAAUCUGCAACCCUGUAUCCAGACAAUAAUUGGAAUACAUCAAGAAAAUGCUUGCAGUCAUUCCACAUGAAAAAAAAAAAAAUUAAAAAAAAAAAAAAA
Molecule: long non-coding RNA, 2904 nt
Filed under: Taeniopygia guttata (zebra finch)
Lineage: Eukaryota; Metazoa; Chordata; Aves; Passeriformes; Estrildidae
Description: lncRNA (ENSTGUG00000026487.1)
Source: RNAcentral